Molecule: ribosomal RNA, 1450 nt
Filed under: Lactiplantibacillus plantarum
Lineage: Bacteria; Bacillati; Bacillota; Bacilli; Lactobacillales; Lactobacillaceae
Description: bacterial SSU rRNA
Rfam family: Bacterial small subunit ribosomal RNA
Source: RNAcentral
CGUCUAUACAUGCAAGUCGAACGAACUCUGGUAUUGAUUGGUGCUUGCAUCAUGAUUUACAUUUGAGUGAGUGGCGAACUGGUGAGUAACACGUGGGAAACCUGCCCAGAAGCGGGGGAUAACACCUGGAAACAGAUGCUAAUACCGCAUAACAACUUGGACCGCAUGGUCCGAGUUUGAAAGAUGGCUUCGGCUAUCACUUUUGGAUGGUCCCGCGGCGUAUUAGCUAGAUGGUGGGGUAACGGCUCACCAUGGCAAUGAUACGUAGCCGACCUGAGAGGGUAAUCGGCCACAUUGGGACUGAGACACGGCCCAAACUCCUACGGGAGGCAGCAGUAGGGAAUCUUCCACAAUGGACGAAAGUCUGAUGGAGCAACGCCGCGUGAGUGAAGAAGGGUUUCGGCUCGUAAAACUCUGUUGUUAAAGAAGAACAUAUCUGAGAGUAACUGUUCAGGUAUUGACGGUAUUUAACCAGAAAGCCACGGCUAACUACGUGCCAGCAGCCGCGGUAAUACGUAGGUGGCAAGCGUUGUCCGGAUUUAUUGGGCGUAAAGCGAGCGCAGGCGGUUUUUUAAGUCUGAUGUGAAAGCCUUCGGCUCAACCGAAGAAGUGCAUCGGAAACUGGGAAACUUGAGUGCAGAAGAGGACAGUGGAACUCCAUGUGUAGCGGUGAAAUGCGUAGAUAUAUGGAAGAACACCAGUGGCGAAGGCGGCUGUCUGGUCUGUAACUGACGCUGAGGCUCGAAAGUAUGGGUAGCAAACAGGAUUAGAUACCCUGGUAGUCCAUACCGUAAACGAUGAAUGCUAAGUGUUGGAGGGUUUCCGCCCUUCAGUGCUGCAGCUAACGCAUUAAGCAUUCCGCCUGGGGAGUACGGCCGCAAGGCUGAAACUCAAAGGAAUUGACGGGGGCCCGCACAAGCGGUGGAGCAUGUGGUUUAAUUCGAAGCUACGCGAAGAACCUUACCAGGUCUUGACAUACUAUGCAAAUCUAAGAGAUUAGACGUUCCCUUCGGGGACAUGGAUACAGGUGGUGCAUGGUUGUCGUCAGCUCGUGUCGUGAGAUGUUGGGUUAAGUCCCGCAACGAGCGCAACCCUUAUUAUCAGUUGCCAGCAUUAAGUUGGGCACUCUGGUGAGACUGCCGGUGACAAACCGGAGGAAGGUGGGGAUGACGUCAAAUCAUCAUGCCCCUUAUGACCUGGGCUACACACGUGCUACAAUGGAUGGUACAACGAGUUGCGAACUCGCGAGAGUAAGCUAAUCUCUUAAAGCCAUUCUCAGUUCGGAUUGUAGGCUGCAACUCGCCUACAUGAAGUCGGAAUCGCUAGUAAUCGCGGAUCAGCAUGCCGCGGUGAAUACGUUCCCGGGCCUUGUACACACCGCCCGUCACACCAUGAGAGUUUGUAACACCCAAAGUCGGUGGGGUAACCUUUUAGGAACCAGCCGCCUAAG